CGCGCGGCGGGCGGCGGGCGGCGGGCGGCGGGCGGCGGGUGGGGGCGGGCCUGCGAGCAGGGCUUCUGGCGGCUUUCCAGGUCGGCGCACUAAUACGGGCGAUGAGGCUUCGCGGCUCCAGUCUGACUGACGCCGACUGGAGCCGCCGCUGCCGCCGCCGCCGCUACAGCCGCUGUCUCGGUCGCCGCCGCCGCCGCCGCCGCCGCCGGGCCCUGCAGGCGCUGGGCGCGCUCAGCCAGGCGUUAAUGAGUAAUCAGAAAAUAUUCACAGACGUCAACUACUAUAUCUCUGAUUGCCCAAGACCAUGGAAUGAGAAAGAAGAGGGGUUUUUGUUGUUAAUGAAACAUUGCUAAGGAUUCUAGAAGUAAUAAACAACUGCUGCCCCAAACUACCACUGUCAGAGAAAAUUGAUAUGUUUACAUGAUUCGGCAUUAAGUGGAAGAAAGGAUCUGAAAGGCAGGCAGAAUGCCCGGA
RNAcentral lists this long non-coding RNA (474 nucleotides) under Balaenoptera musculus (blue whale). RNAcentral's name for it is "lncRNA (ENSBMSG00010019627.1)". Lineage: Eukaryota; Metazoa; Chordata; Mammalia; Artiodactyla; Balaenopteridae. The record is from RNAcentral.